CUUUGAUUUCAUUUUCCCUAGAAAACGAUAAAGAGUUGAUGGAAUGAAAUGUGUGAGAAUGUGUGAAUUUCAACAGGAAUUAGAGCUGAGUAUUUUAGGAAGAGAAAAGACAUCAAUAGCCUUGUAUUUGUCAUGUGAAACGCACGUGCGGUAAGAACCGGUCAUUUUGACCUGCAAACAGGUAAAAAAGGGCAAUGUGGCACAAUUAAUUGAGUACAGAUGAACUCCUGCAAAAAAAAUUUGUUCAGGUGGUGUUGUGCAAAAACUUAAAAAGUUCAGGUGGUUUAAUGAUAUUUACCCU
RNAcentral lists this long non-coding RNA (301 nucleotides) under Erythranthe guttata (spotted monkey flower). Its description in RNAcentral is "long non-coding RNA (EGUT_LNC003676)". The record is from RNAcentral. Lineage: Eukaryota; Viridiplantae; Streptophyta; Magnoliopsida; Lamiales; Phrymaceae.